Unclassified non-coding RNA from Cavia porcellus (domestic guinea pig), 102 nucleotides. It matches the Rfam family "Y RNA". Rfam says of the family: Y RNAs are components of the Ro ribonucleoprotein particle (Ro RNP), in association with Ro60 and La proteins. The record is from Ensembl. Lineage: Eukaryota; Metazoa; Chordata; Mammalia; Rodentia; Caviidae.
GGCUGGUCCCAGUGCAGUGGUGUUUACAACUAAUUGAUCACAACCAGUUACAGAUUUCUUUGUUCCUUCUCCACUCCCACUGCUUCACUUGACUAGCCUUAA